CGCGGCCUAUCAGCUUGUUGGUGGGGUAAUGGCCUACCAAGGCGACGACGGGUAGCCGGCCUGAGAGGGUGACCGGCCACACUGGGACUGAGACACGGCCCAGACUCCUACGGGAGGCAGCAGUGGGGAAUAUUGCACAAUGGGCGAAAGCCUGAUGCAGCGACGCCGCGUGAGGGAUGACGGCCUUCGGGUUGUAAACCUCUUUCGCCAGGGACGAAGCGCAAGUGACGGUACCUGGAUAAGAAGCACCGGCUAACUACGUGCCAGCAGCCGCGGUAAUACGUAGGGUGCGAGCGUUGUCCGGAUUUAUUGGGCGUAAAGAGCUCGUAGGCGGUUUGUCGCGUCGGCCGUGAAAUCUCCACGCUUAACGUGGAGCGUGCGGUCGAUACGGGCAGACUUGAGUUCGGUAGGGGAGACUGGAAUUCCUGGUGUAGCGGUGAAAUGCGCAGAUAUCAGGAGGAACACCGGUGGCGAAGGCGGGUCUCUGGGCCGAUACUGACGCUGAGGAGCGAAAGCGUGGGGAGCGAACAGGAUUAGAUACCCUGGUAGUCCACGCUGUAAACGUUGGGCGCUAGGUGUGGGCGACAUCCACGUUGUCCGUGCCGUAGCUAACGCAUUAAGCGCCCCGCCUGGGGAGUACGG
RNAcentral lists this ribosomal RNA (642 nucleotides) under uncultured bacterium. Its description in RNAcentral is "bacterial SSU rRNA". It matches the Rfam family "Bacterial small subunit ribosomal RNA", at positions 232 to 885 of the family's 1533-position model. The record is from RNAcentral.